Molecule: ribosomal RNA, 253 nt
Filed under: uncultured bacterium
Lineage: Bacteria
Description: partial 16S ribosomal RNA
Rfam family: Bacterial small subunit ribosomal RNA
Source: RNAcentral
UACGUAGGGCGCGAGCGUUGUCCGGAAUUAUUGGGCGUAAAGAGCUCGUAGGUGGUUUGUUGCGUCUGCCGUGAAAACCCGAGGCUUAACCUCGUGGCUUGCGGUGGAUACGGGCAGACUUGAGGUAGGUAGGGAGAAUGGAAUUCCCGGUGUAGCGGUGAAAUGCGCAGAUAUCGGGAGGAACACCGGUGGCGAAGGCGGUUUUCUGGGCCUUACCUGACGCUGAGGAGCGAAAGCGUGGGGAGCGAUCCGG